GGAGAGUUGCCGGAGUGGUCGAACGGGGCGGAUUCGAAAUCCGUUGUACCUUUCGGGGUACCAAGGGUUCGAAUCCCUUACUCUCCGCCA
Molecule: transfer RNA, 90 nt
Filed under: Verrucomicrobiales bacterium
Lineage: Bacteria; Pseudomonadati; Verrucomicrobiota; Verrucomicrobiia; Verrucomicrobiales
Description: tRNA-Ser
Rfam family: tRNA
About the family: Transfer RNA (tRNA) molecules are approximately 80 nucleotides in length. Their secondary structure includes four short double-helical elements and three loops (D, anti-codon, and T loops).
Source: RNAcentral